Molecule: ribosomal RNA, 468 nt
Filed under: Streptococcus mutans
Lineage: Bacteria; Bacillati; Bacillota; Bacilli; Lactobacillales; Streptococcaceae
Description: bacterial SSU rRNA
Rfam family: Bacterial small subunit ribosomal RNA
Source: RNAcentral
GACGAACGCUGGCGGCGUGCCUAAUACAUGCAAGUGGGACGCAAGGGAACACACUGUGCUUGCACACCGUGUUUUCUUGAGUCGCGAACGGGUGAGUAACGCGUAGGUAACCUGCCUAUUAGCGGGGGAUAACUAUUGGAAACGAUAGCUAAUACCGCAUAAUAUUAAUUAUUGCAUGAUAAUUGAUUGAAAGAUGCAAGCGCAUCACUAGUAGAUGGACCUGCGUUGUAUUAGCUAGUUGGUAAGGUAAGAGCUUACCAAGGCGACGAUACAUAGCCGACCUGAGAGGGUGAUCGGCCACACUGGGACUGAGACACGGCCCAGACUCCUACGGGAGGCAGCAGUAGGGAAUCUUCGGCAAUGGACGAAAGUCUGACCGAGCAACGCCGCGUGAGUGAAGAAGGUUUUCGGAUCGUAAAGCUCUGUUGUAAGUCAAGAACGUGUGUGAGAGUGGAAAGUUCACGCAGU